This 380-nucleotide ribosomal RNA is filed under the name uncultured bacterium. Its description in RNAcentral is "bacterial SSU rRNA". It matches the Rfam family "Bacterial small subunit ribosomal RNA", at positions 28 to 368 of the family's 1533-position model. The record is from RNAcentral.
GAUGAACGCUGGCGGCAUGCCUAAGACAUGCAAGUCGAACGAGAUGGCCCAGUGAAGGUUGAGUGCUUGCACGAGACUGAAUCUGGAUUCCCAUCUAGUGGCAGACGGGUGAGUAACACGUGGGUGACCUACCUUUUCGUUGGGGAUAACAGUUGGAAACGAUUGCUAAUACCGAAUAAAAUGUAAGAGUCAAUUUUACAUUGAAAGGAGCCUUUAAAGCUUCGCGAUUAGAUGGGCCUGCGGCGUAUUAACUAGUUGGUGAGGUAAUGGCUUACCAAGGUGACGAUGCGUAGCCGAACUGAGAGGUUGAUCGGCCACAUUGGGACUGAGACACGGCCCAAACUUCCGUAACGGGGAGAACAGCAGUUAGGAAUAUUCGU